Long non-coding RNA from Periophthalmus magnuspinnatus, 255 nucleotides. RefSeq lists it as uncharacterized. Lineage: Eukaryota; Metazoa; Chordata; Actinopteri; Gobiiformes; Gobiidae. The record is from RefSeq and is a predicted model, not a curated record. The transcript is spliced from 4 exons.
CAAGUCUGAUCAGGGUUCAUACAGAUGUGAGCUUCAGGACUCUGCACAAAAGGUCCUGACUUCUCCAGAGAGUUGGCUGUCUGUCACAUUGACCAGAGAGAAGAGCUUUCCUGUUUUUGCUGUGAUGAGGUUGGUAGCUGGCAUGAUUGUCCUACUCAUUCUGCUACUGAUUCUGUGGCACUACUGUAACACCAAAGAUUUGUUCUUUGUCAGGUCCAAGGAAACCAAACGGACACGUGCUGAAGAUCAUGUGAC